This 368-nucleotide ribosomal RNA is filed under the name uncultured organism. RNAcentral describes it as "bacterial SSU rRNA". It matches the Rfam family "Bacterial small subunit ribosomal RNA", at positions 526 to 896 of the family's 1533-position model. The record is from RNAcentral.
CGUAGGUGGCAAGCGUUGUCCGGAUUUAUUGGGUUUAAAGGGUGCGUAGGCGGUUUUCUAAGUCAGCAGUGAAAUACGGCAGCUCAACUGUCGAGGUGCUGUUGAUACUGGGGAACUUGAGUACUGAUGAGGUAGGCAGAAUGGACGGUGUAGCGGUGAAAUGCUUAGAGAUCGUCCAGAACACCGAUAGCGAAGGCAGCUUACUAAGGAGUAACUGACGCUGAGGCACGAAAGUGUGGGGAUCAAACAGGAUUAGAUACCCUGGUAGUCCACACUGUAAACGAUGAUUACUCGAUGUGUGCGAUAUACGGCACGCGUCUUAGCAAAAGCGAUAAGUAAUCCACCUGGGGAGUACGCCGGCAACGGUG